UACGUAGGGGGCAAGCGUUGUCCGGAUUUAUUGGGCGUAAAGAGCGUGUAGGCGGCUGGGUAGGUCCGUUGUGAAAACUCGAGGCUCAACCUCGAGACGCCGAUGGAAACCCUCCAGCUAGAGUACGGAAGAGGAGAGUGGAAUUCCUGGUGUAGCGGUGAAAUGCGCAGAUAUCAGGAAGAACACCCGUGGCUAAGGCGGCUCUCUAGUACGGUACUGACGCUGAGACGCGAAAGCGUGGGGAGCGAACAGG
RNAcentral lists this ribosomal RNA (253 nucleotides) under uncultured bacterium. RNAcentral describes it as "partial 16S ribosomal RNA". It matches the Rfam family "Bacterial small subunit ribosomal RNA", at positions 524 to 776 of the family's 1533-position model. The record is from RNAcentral.